GGUCAACUUAGUAAUCGGUUAUAACCUAUCUUUAAUUUUUAUAAACUAAUAUUGUUAAUAAUUAAUUUUUUCUGCUUAUUUAAUCAAUCAAUUGUGUUACUGUAAUAUGUUAUAAAGAGAAAUUCGUCAAGAAAAUAUUGGUAGUAUUUCAUUUGGGCUAUUUAAAAUGCAUACGAGACGUUUAUUAUUCUUGCUGUGGGUAUUUUGGGAGAAGCAAAGCCUGAUAUAGGAGCUCGUAUAGUUGGCGGAAACGACGCUGCCCAAGGGUCAGCACUUCAUCAUGUAUCGAUCAGGUUGGGUUACAUCGAGGGUGUCCC
Pieris napi is the source of this 317-nucleotide long non-coding RNA. RefSeq lists it as uncharacterized. Lineage: Eukaryota; Metazoa; Arthropoda; Insecta; Lepidoptera; Pieridae. The record is from RefSeq and is a predicted model, not a curated record. The transcript is spliced from 2 exons.